RNAcentral lists this ribosomal RNA (560 nucleotides) under Lactobacillus gasseri. Its description in RNAcentral is "bacterial SSU rRNA". It matches the Rfam family "Bacterial small subunit ribosomal RNA", at positions 382 to 934 of the family's 1533-position model. The record is from RNAcentral. Lineage: Bacteria; Bacillati; Bacillota; Bacilli; Lactobacillales; Lactobacillaceae.
UCUGAUGGAGCAACGCCGCGUGAGUGAAGAAGGGUUUCGGCUCGUAAAGCUCUGUUGGUAGUGAAGAAAGAUAGAGGUAGUAACUGGCCUUUAUUUGACGGUAAUUACUUAGAAAGUCACGGCUAACUACGUGCCAGCAGCCGCGGUAAUACGUAGGUGGCAAGCGUUGUCCGGAUUUAUUGGGCGUAAAGCGAGUGCAGGCGGUUCAAUAAGUCUGAUGUGAAAGCCUUCGGCUCAACCGGAGAAUUGCAUCAGAAACUGUUGAACUUGAGUGCAGAAGAGGAGAGUGGAACUCCAUGUGUAGCGGUGGAAUGCGUAGAUAUAUGGGAGAACACCAGUGGCGAAGGCGGCUCUCUGGUCUGCAACUGACGCUGAGGCUCGAAAGCAUGGGUAGCGAACAGGAUUAGAUACCCUGGUAGUCCAUGCCGUAAACGAUGAGUGCUAAGUGUGGGAGGUUUCCGCCUCUCAGUGCUGCAGCUAACGCAUUAAGCACUCCGCCUGGGGAGUACGACCGCAAGGUUGAAACUCAAAGGAAUUGACGGGGGCCCGCACAAGCGGUG